Long non-coding RNA from Mastomys coucha (southern multimammate mouse), 422 nucleotides. RefSeq lists it as uncharacterized. NCBI's taxonomy places the organism in Eukaryota, Metazoa, Chordata, Mammalia, Rodentia, Muridae. The transcript is spliced from 3 exons. The record is from RefSeq and is a predicted model, not a curated record.
CCCAGGAUGCCCCGGAUUGGGCCCUACCAGCAGGGCAGUUAAAGGGUCUUUUCUUGUUGAUAGGAACGGCCAGUGCCUGGACCCCACCCUCCCCCACUCCCUUUUAAUUCAAUGGCUACGUGGGGGCUUCUUUGAUGGAGGCUUUGAAGUCGGUGGCUUUGAGAUUACUCUUCCUCUGUGACCUUGACCACCAGCCAUGAGCAUCAUGGGCAGACUUUCAAGCUCCAUUUAUAAGUGAGAAAAAUGGACUUCAACUAAAAACUUGUCCAAGACCCAGCAAGUCAAAUACAGGAGCCAGGCCACCAUGAUAACUCCAUGAUGAUGUACUGUCUGGCUGCAUACCUUGUUCCAGACUCUUUCCCUGCACACUUGGAUCUGAGCGCCCUUUCCAGUGUAAGUGUGGAAAGGUACUGACUCUCCAA